GGAGUCUGGCCUGAGGGAGGUUUGGCCUGAGGUGGGUCUGGCCUGAGGUGGAUCUGGCCUGAGGUGGGUCUGGCCCGAGGUGGGUCUGGCCUGAGGUGGAUCUGGCCUGAGGUGGGUCUGGCCUGAGGUGGGUCUGGCCUGAGGUGGGUCUGGCCUGAGGGAGGUUUGGCCUGAGGUGGGUCUGGCCUGAGGUGGAGUCUGGCCUGAGGUGGGUCUGGCCUGAGGGGUCUGGCCUGAGGUGGGUCUGGCCUGAGGGGGGUCUGGCCUGAGGAGAGUUUGGCCUGAGGUGGGUCUGGCCUGAGGGGGGUCUGGCCUGA
This is a long non-coding RNA of Vidua macroura (Pin-tailed whydah), 317 nucleotides long. RefSeq lists it as uncharacterized. The record is from RefSeq and is a predicted model, not a curated record. NCBI's taxonomy places the organism in Eukaryota, Metazoa, Chordata, Aves, Passeriformes, Viduidae. The transcript is spliced from 3 exons.